GGAAGUAAAAGUGUAACAAGGUUUCCGUAGGUGAACCUGCGGAAGGAUCAUUAUUGUAUAACCGAGGUGCGAGGGCUGUCGCUGACCCGAAAGGUCGUGCACGCCCGAGUGCCCUCACACACAUCCAUCUCACCCCUAUGUGCACCACCGCGUGGGUCCCCCUUUGGCUUGUUCGGAGGGGGGCUUACGUUUUCACACAAACUUUGUAUGCAGUGUAGAAUGUAUUUUUUGUUUUUGCGAUCACGCAAUCAAUACAACUUCCAACAACGGAUCUCUUGGCUCUC
RNAcentral lists this unclassified non-coding RNA (284 nucleotides) under plant metagenome. Its description in RNAcentral is "partial contains small subunit ribosomal RNA and internal transcribed spacer 1". The stretch from base 1 to 53 matches the Rfam family "Eukaryotic small subunit ribosomal RNA", at positions 1778 to 1831 of the family's 1831-position model. The record is from RNAcentral.